UACGGAGGGUGCGAGCGUUGUCCGGAAUCACUGGGCGUAAAGGGCGCGUAGGCGGCUUUCUAAGUCAGGGGUGAAAUCCGGCAGCUCAACUGUCGCAGUGCCUUUGAUACUGGAGAGCUCGAGGGAGGUAGGGGUCUGUGGAACUUCCGGUGGAGCGGUGAAAUGCGUUGAUAUCGGAAGGAACGCCGGUGGCGAAAGCGACGGACUGGAUCUCUUCUGACGCUGAGGCGCGAAAGCCAGGGGAGCAAACGGG
Molecule: ribosomal RNA, 253 nt
Filed under: uncultured bacterium
Lineage: Bacteria
Description: partial 16S ribosomal RNA
Rfam family: Bacterial small subunit ribosomal RNA
Source: RNAcentral